This 252-nucleotide ribosomal RNA is filed under the name uncultured bacterium. RNAcentral's name for it is "partial 16S ribosomal RNA". It matches the Rfam family "Bacterial small subunit ribosomal RNA", at positions 524 to 776 of the family's 1533-position model. The record is from RNAcentral.
UACGUAAGUGACGAGCGUUAUCCGGAUUUACUGGGCAUAAAGCGCGUGUAGGUGGUGUUUUAAGUCAGGUGUUAAAGGCUACAGCUCAACUGUAGUUCGCAUUUGAAACUGAAUCACUAGAGAUUAGGAGAGGGAAGUGGAACUCACAGUGUAGCGGUGAAAUGCGUAGAUAUUGUGAGGAACACCAGUGGCGAAGGCGACUUCCUGGACUAAAUCUGACACUAAGACGCGAAAGCAUGGGGAGCGAACGGG